UUUGAAAGGAAUAUACAAGGUAUUACCUAUACGUUUCAUUAAAUAUAGGAUUAAAUUCAUACAGAUCCCUACAAAUAUAGUAAACGACAAAUGUAUCCCUACAAAUUAAGUUCAAUUUUUAUAUAUCGUUCCUCCAAAAGUUUUUAUGUUUUCAAAUAUGUUUCUGCCAAUAGAAUCCGUUAGAAAAUUUUAUAGGUUAAAUACUUAAUCCUGAUUAGUUUUUGACAUUUUUACCCCUCUUAUAUUAUACUUUAUGGCUUUUGGAGGGACAUAUUUGUGAUGACAAAAUUGAAGAUAUAAAUAAUUCUCUAACGGUUUUCUAACGGUAACAAAUCAGAGGGACAUAUUUGAAAACAUUAGAAUUUUUGUAGGAAUAAUAUAUGAAAGUUGAACUUUGUACGGAUAUAUUUGUCAUUCAAUAUAUUUGCAGGGAUCUAUAUGAAAUUAACCCUUAAAUGUAUUAGAAGUUACAUGUAAAAUAAGUAUAAAUUAUAAUUGCUGGGGUUGAG
This 509-nucleotide long non-coding RNA is filed under the name Ananas comosus (pineapple). RNAcentral's name for it is "long non-coding RNA (ACOM_LNC015258)". Lineage: Eukaryota; Viridiplantae; Streptophyta; Magnoliopsida; Poales; Bromeliaceae. The record is from RNAcentral.